UCCCCAGACUCCUACGGGAGGCAGCAGUGGGGAAUAUUGCACAAUGGGGGAAACCCUGAUGCAACGACGCCGCGUGAGCGAUGAAGUAUUUCGGUAUGUAAAGCUCUAUCAGCAGGGAAGAAAAUGACGGUACCUGACUAAGAAGCCCCGGCUAACUACGUGCCAGCAGCCGCGGUAAUACGUAGGGGGCAAGCGUUAUCCGGAUUUACUGGGUGUAAAGGGAGCGUAGACGGCGAUGCAAGCCAGAUGUGAAAGCCCGGGGCUCAACCCCGGGACUGCAUUUGGAACUGUAUAGCUAGAGUGUCGGAGAGGCAGGCGGAAUUCCUAGUGUAGCGGUGAAAUGCGUAGAUAUUAGGAGGAACACCAGUGGCGAAGGCGGCCUGCUGGACGAUGACUGACGUUGAGGCUCGAAAGCGUGGGGAGCAAACAGGAUUAGAUACCCGGGUAC
RNAcentral lists this ribosomal RNA (448 nucleotides) under uncultured bacterium. RNAcentral describes it as "partial 16S ribosomal RNA". It matches the Rfam family "Bacterial small subunit ribosomal RNA", at positions 328 to 793 of the family's 1533-position model. The record is from RNAcentral.